UGGGGAAUAUUGCACAAUGGAGGGAACUCUGAUGCAGCGACGCCGCGUGAGUGAUGAAGGAAUUCGUUUCGUAAAACUCUGUUCUAUGGGAAGAAAAGGACUGUACCAUAGGAGAAAGCUCCGGCUAAAUACGUGCCAGCAGCCGCGGUAAUACGUAUGGAGCGAGCGUUGUCCGGAAUUAUUGGGCGUAAAGGGUGCGCAGGCGGCUUUACAAGUUGGAUGUGAAAUAUUGUGGCUCAACCACAAACGUGCAUCCAAAACUGCAAAGCUUGAGUUAAGGAGAGGUAAGUGGAAUUCCUGGUGUAGCGGUGGAAUGCGUAGAUAUCAGGAGGAAUACCGGUGGCGAAGGCGACUUACUGGACUUAAACUGACGCUCAGGCACGCAAGCGUGGGGAGCAAACAGG
RNAcentral lists this ribosomal RNA (404 nucleotides) under Fusobacteriota bacterium. RNAcentral describes it as "Fusobacteria bacterium partial 16S ribosomal RNA". It matches the Rfam family "Bacterial small subunit ribosomal RNA", at positions 355 to 776 of the family's 1533-position model. The record is from RNAcentral. Lineage: Bacteria; Fusobacteriati; Fusobacteriota.